This 484-nucleotide ribosomal RNA is filed under the name uncultured bacterium. RNAcentral's name for it is "partial 16S ribosomal RNA". It matches the Rfam family "Bacterial small subunit ribosomal RNA", at positions 30 to 507 of the family's 1533-position model. The record is from RNAcentral.
AUUGAACGCUGGCGGCAUGCUUUACACAUGCAAGUCGAACGGUAACAGGGUGCUUGCACCGCUGACGAGUGGCGAACGGGUGAGUAAUGCAUCGGAAUGUACCGUGUAAUGGGGGAUAGCUCGGCGAAAGCCGGAUUAAUACCGCAUACGCCCUGAGGGGGAAAGUGGGGGACCGAAAGGCCUCACGUUAUACGAGCAGCCGAUGUCUGAUUAGCUAGUUGGUGAGGUAAAGGCUCACCAAGGCGACGAUCAGUAGCGGGUCUGAGAGGCUGAUCCGCCACACUGGGACUGAGACACGGUCCAUACUCCGACGGGAGGCCGCAGUGGGGAAUAUGGGACAAUGGGCGCAAGCCUGAUCCAGCCAUACCGCGUGGGUGAAAAAGGCCGUCGGGUUGUAAAGCCCUUUUGUUGGGAAAGAAAAGCAGCAGGCUAAGGCCCCGCUGUUCUGACGGGACCCAAAGAAUAAGCACCGGCUAACUUCGUG